Non-coding RNA from Mycena haematopus, 89 nucleotides. NCBI's taxonomy places the organism in Eukaryota, Fungi, Basidiomycota, Agaricomycetes, Agaricales, Mycenaceae. The record is from the annotation of a GenBank genome assembly.
UCCCGACUAGUAUAUCGGUUGAGUACACGCGCCUGUCAUACAUUGUGGUUCGUUCGCGCGAAAGCUGGGUUCGACUCCCAGGUCGAGAG